GGGGCUGGGGCGCGCCGAGCGCGGGCAGCAGGGCUGGACUGGCACGGCGGGACGGCUCGGAACGGCACGGAGCGAGCGUAGGUUUUUUGUUCCUGUAAAAAGAGUGACGGCUCACAGAUGCUGCUGGAAGUCCCCACUGCAUAGCUGGGAAGAGAGACUGUGAUCUUCAAGG
Chiroxiphia lanceolata (lance-tailed manakin) is the source of this 172-nucleotide long non-coding RNA. RefSeq lists it as uncharacterized. Lineage: Eukaryota; Metazoa; Chordata; Aves; Passeriformes; Pipridae. The record is from RefSeq and is a predicted model, not a curated record. The transcript is spliced from 2 exons.